RNAcentral lists this long non-coding RNA (1046 nucleotides) under Piliocolobus tephrosceles (Ugandan red Colobus). Its description in RNAcentral is "lncRNA (ENSPTEG00000005066.1)". The record is from RNAcentral. Lineage: Eukaryota; Metazoa; Chordata; Mammalia; Primates; Cercopithecidae.
CUUUUUCUGGUACUUUACCUAAAUUAAAAAUAAAAAAAAAAAAGAAAAAAAAGAUUAAUUUUUUCAGAUACAAUUACAAACGCAUAUAAAACAAAAUGCAUGAAUAUUAUAUUACAAAAUUUAUGUCCUCACAUGCCUAAUUUUGGAAUUAUAUACAACACGGAUUUACAUAUAUCGAUCGAUGCUGAAAGAGGUUUAUAUAUAACUGGAUAUAUAAAUAAAAAAAAAAUUAUAAUUUAAUGAAAAAUAAAAGUGGAAAAGAUGAUUUUGAAGAUAAUGAAGUGAAAAUAAAAAUUAUUAAAAAAAAAAAAAUACUUUUAAUAAAAAAAAAAUAAAAUCAACUCCGUUACUAACAAAUACAUCCAUAAACGAUAAAAAAAAAUAUUCUUGGAUUGAUAAUGUUAAAGAAUUAAGCUUAGAAGGAUGGAUAAAAUGUGAAUUAGCAGGAUGUCUAGAAGCAGUUAUAUUUAUACAUGGUUAUAAUACAAAUCAUUUACAGGCGUUACAAAUUUUAGGUCAGAUGGCUUCAUUUGGUAAUUUCCCCAAUUAUAUAAAAUUAUUUUUAUUUAACUGGCCAUCUGGAGCUAGUUUUUUACAAUUCUUUGUAGCACGAGAUAAUUCGAAAAAUACUAAAGUACACAUAGCAUUAAAGACUUUCUUAAGCACCUUGCGCAGUAAUGGUAUAAGACAAAUACAUAUUAUAACUCAUAGUAUGGGUACACGAACAUUUUUAUUAUCGUUUCAUGACAUCGUCAAAAGCAACUUAUUUUCAACCAUAGAUGAAGAAGAAAAUUCUUCUAGUAAUUUAACUAAAAUGAAAUUAAUUACAUUAACGAUGAUGAACCCAGAAUAUAAUUUAAGUGAUUUCGUAAAUAAAGAAUAUAUUUUUCUUCGAUCGUAUUGUACAGUUAUAUCUAUAUUUUGUGACUCGAAUGAUAAAGCCUUAAGAUGGGCAGAAAUAUUUAGUGGUAAUAAAUCACUAGGUAAAAAUGUAUUUGGUUUGAAUAUAUGUAAAAAUGAUGAUUAUUAUACAAGAAAAAUACAAG